RNAcentral lists this microRNA (23 nucleotides) under Homo sapiens (human). RNAcentral's name for it is "hsa-miR-508-5p". Its record names the gene hsa-miR-508-5p. The record is from miRBase by way of RNAcentral. Lineage: Eukaryota; Metazoa; Chordata; Mammalia; Primates; Hominidae.
UACUCCAGAGGGCGUCACUCAUG